UACAGAGGUCUCGAGCGUUAGGCGGAAUCACUGGGCUUAAAGCGUGUGUAGGCGGAUCGGUAAGUCGGGUGUGAAAUCUCGGAGCUUAACUCCGAAACUGCAUUCGAUACUGCCGUGCUUGAGGACUGGAGAGGAGACUGGAAUUUACGGUGUAGCGGUGAAAUGCGUAGAUAUCGUAAGGAAGACCAGUGGCGAAGGCGGGUCUCUGGACAGUUCCUGACGCUGAGGCACGAAGGCCAGGGGAGCAAACGGG
This 253-nucleotide ribosomal RNA is filed under the name uncultured bacterium. RNAcentral's name for it is "partial 16S ribosomal RNA". It matches the Rfam family "Bacterial small subunit ribosomal RNA", at positions 524 to 776 of the family's 1533-position model. The record is from RNAcentral.